UCCAGACUCCUACGGGAGGCAGCAGUGAGGAAUAUUGGUCAAUGGGAGAGAUCCUGAACCAGCCAAGCCGCGUGAGGGAAGACGGCCCUAUGGGUUGUAAACCUCUUUUGUCGGAGAACAAAACCCGGGACGUGUCCCGGACUGCGUGUAUCCGAAGAAAAAGCAUCGGCUAACUCCGUGCCAGCAGCCGCGGUAAUACGGAGGAUGCGAGCGUUAUCCGGAUUUAUUGGGUUUAAAGGGUGCGUAGGCGGAACAUUAAGUCAGCGGUAAAAUCGAGGGGCUCAACCCCUUUAAGCCGUUGAAACUGGUGAUCUUGGGUGGGCGAGAAGUAUGCGGAAUGCGUGGUGUAGCGGUGAAAUGCAUAGAUAUCACGCAGAACUCCGAUUGCGAAGGCAGCAUACCGGCGCCCGACUGACGCUGAGGCACGAAAGCGUGGGGAUCGAACAGGAUUAGAUACCCAGUA
RNAcentral lists this ribosomal RNA (463 nucleotides) under uncultured bacterium. RNAcentral describes it as "bacterial SSU rRNA". It matches the Rfam family "Bacterial small subunit ribosomal RNA", at positions 330 to 791 of the family's 1533-position model. The record is from RNAcentral.